GGGCAGUUAGCUCAGUGGUAGAGCGUCUGCCUUACAAGCAGGGGGUCACUGGUUCAAGUCCAGUACUGCCCA
RNAcentral lists this transfer RNA (72 nucleotides) under Chordaria linearis. It matches the Rfam family "tRNA". Rfam says of the family: Transfer RNA (tRNA) molecules are approximately 80 nucleotides in length. Their secondary structure includes four short double-helical elements and three loops (D, anti-codon, and T loops). The record is from RNAcentral. RNAcentral also lists the same sequence under 13 other names. Lineage: Eukaryota; Phaeophyceae; Ectocarpales; Chordariaceae.